AUAAAGAAAAUAUGAAGACUAUAGUGCUUGCAGUUUUGAUGGUAACAUGUUUUAUAGGUAAACAGGACGUGCGUGUUGGCGCAAUAACGGUACAAAUGACCCCUAAUCAGUGUGCAUUAAACACUGCCGCAAUUGGAUGCAAACCAAGGCGAUAUUUCAGUUCUGAAAACUCUGAUAACUCUAAUGAUUCUCACGAUUCUCACGAUUCUGACAUGUCAGAUAGAUAUAGAAAAGUUAUGACAAAGGGAGACAGGAAUUGUCAGGAUUGUUGUGAAAGGUCUGGUUGUAGGAGAGGCGUGUGUAUUGGUAGAACCUGUCGGUGUAGGCAAUGUUAGUUCAUAUGCAGAACGUUUUAAAGCUGAAUUCACAUUACUUUUUUGCUCAAAUAAAAAGUGUUUUCCUAAUUAUGAUACAAA
Molecule: long non-coding RNA, 416 nt
Organism: Mytilus californianus (California mussel)
Lineage: Eukaryota; Metazoa; Mollusca; Bivalvia; Mytilida; Mytilidae
Exons: 3
Source: RefSeq, a predicted model, not a curated record